RNAcentral lists this small nucleolar RNA (138 nucleotides) under Ornithorhynchus anatinus (platypus). Lineage: Eukaryota; Metazoa; Chordata; Mammalia; Monotremata; Ornithorhynchidae. The record is from RNAcentral.
CCUCUCUCAGGGUCACACCUGGAGAGUUUCCAGUAUUCUACCAGUCUCGACUAUGGGAGGGGGAGUCAAGCAGAGGCCUGUCCAUUCCAUUCCUAGCUUGGGCAGUGACUAGCAAGUGGAAGACAAUCUGCUAUAAUU